AUUGAACGCUGGCGGCAGGCCUAACACAUGCAAGUCGAACGAGUGGCGGACGGGUGAGUAAUGUCCGGGAAACUGCCCGAUGGAGGGGGAUAACUACUGGAAACGGUAGCUAAUACCGCAUACCAUCGGAUGUGCCCAGAUGGGAUUAGCUUGUAGGGGAGGUAACGCCUCACCUAGUCGCAGAGCCCUAGCUGGUAUGAGAGGAUGACCAGCCAAACUGAAACUGAGACACGGUCCAGACUCCUACGAGAGGCAGAAGUGGGGAAUAUUGCACAAUGGGCGCAAGCCUGAUACAGCCAUGCCGUGUGUAGGAAGAAGGCCUUCGGGUUGGAAAGUACUGUCAGCGGGGAGGCGUUACCCGCAGUAGAAGCACCGGCUAACUCCGUGCCAGCAGCCGCGGUAAUUC
This 406-nucleotide ribosomal RNA is filed under the name uncultured bacterium. Its description in RNAcentral is "partial 16S ribosomal RNA". It matches the Rfam family "Bacterial small subunit ribosomal RNA", at positions 30 to 526 of the family's 1533-position model. The record is from RNAcentral.